GUUUAAGCCGCCGCGGUAAUACGGGGGGAGCAAGCGUUGUUCGGAUUUACUGGGCGUAAAGGGCGCGUAGGCGGUCAGCACAAGUCAGUUGUGAAAUCUCCGGGCUUAACUCGGAAAGGUCAACUGAUACUGUGCGACUAGAGUGCAGAAGGGGCAACUGGAAUUCUCGGUGUAGCGGUGAAAUGCGUAGAUAUCGAGAGGAACACCUGCGGCGAAGGCGGGUUGCUGGGCUGACACUGACGCUGAGGCGCGAAAGCCAGGGGAGCGAACGGGAUUAGAUACCCGGGUAGUCC
This 293-nucleotide ribosomal RNA is filed under the name uncultured bacterium. RNAcentral describes it as "partial 16S ribosomal RNA". It matches the Rfam family "Bacterial small subunit ribosomal RNA", at positions 505 to 796 of the family's 1533-position model. The record is from RNAcentral.